RNAcentral lists this ribosomal RNA (440 nucleotides) under uncultured bacterium. RNAcentral describes it as "partial 16S ribosomal RNA". It matches the Rfam family "Bacterial small subunit ribosomal RNA", at positions 338 to 795 of the family's 1533-position model. The record is from RNAcentral.
CCUACGGGAGGCUGCAGUAGGGAAUAUUGCUCAAUGGGGGAAACCCUGAAGCAGCAACGCCGCGUGGAGGAUGAAGGUUUUCGGAUUGUAAACCUCUUUUGUUAGGGAAGAUAAUGACGGUACCUAACGAAUAAGCACCGGCUAACUCCGUGCCAGCAGCCGCGGUAAUACGGAGGGUGCAAGCGUUAUACGGAAUCACUGGGCGUAAAGAGGGCGUAGGCGGGAUAGCAAGUCAGAUGUGAAAUUCUAUGGCUUAACCAUAGAACUGCAUUUGAAACUGUUAUGCUAGAGUGUGGGAGAGGUAGGUGGAAUUCUUGGUGUAGGGGUAAAAUGCGUAGAGAUCAAGUGGAAUACUGAUUGCGAAGGCGGCCUGCUGGAACGUGACUGACGCUGAUGCGCGAAAGCGUGGGGAGCGAACAGGAUUAGAUACCCCAGUAGUC